This 443-nucleotide ribosomal RNA is filed under the name uncultured bacterium. RNAcentral's name for it is "partial 16S ribosomal RNA". It matches the Rfam family "Bacterial small subunit ribosomal RNA", at positions 338 to 795 of the family's 1533-position model. The record is from RNAcentral.
CCUACGGGAGGCAGCAGUGGGGAAUAUUGGGCAAUGGGCGCAAGCCUGACCCAGCAACGCCGCGUGAAGGAAGAAGGCUUUCGGGUUGUAAACCUCUUUUAUGAGGGACGAAGACAGUGACGGUACCUCAGGAAUAAGCCACGGCUAACUACGUGCCAGCAGCCGCGGUAAUACGUAGGUGGCAAGCGUUAUCCGGAUGUAUUGGGUGUAAAGGGCGCGUAGGCGGGAAUGCAAGUCAGAUGUGAAAACUCAGGGCUCAACCCUGCGCCUGCAUGUGAAACUGUUUUGCUUGAGUGCAGGAGAGGCAAUCGGAAUUCCGUGUGUAGCGGUGAAAUGCGUAGAUAUACGGAGGAACACCAGUGGCGAAGGCGGAUUGCUGGACAGUAACUGACGCUGAGGCGCGAAAGCGUGGGGAGCAAACAGGAUUAGAUACCCCGGUAGUC